RNAcentral lists this long non-coding RNA (3387 nucleotides) under Sus scrofa (pig). RNAcentral's name for it is "lncRNA (ENSSSCG00060045304.1)". The record is from RNAcentral. Lineage: Eukaryota; Metazoa; Chordata; Mammalia; Artiodactyla; Suidae.
CUUUCAAACUGAAAGAAUUUAUAAUCUAAUUUAUUAAUAUUCUCUGGAAAAGACAAAGAUACAACAGUAUGCCUGUUUAGAAAGUAUUUCAUAACUCACUCAGGGGAAAAACCUUACCUCAUUUCGGGAAAAAAUUGGGAUUUUGCCCUGUCCUUAUGUGCUAUUUUCCGUAGUAUUUUUCCAGUAGUACUUCUCCAAAUCAAGCUAGGGACAGUUCAGCUUCAAGUUUUAUUGACAUUUUUUGUGGGCAUGAAAUGCUUUUUUUAAUACCUUACUUUAACUCAUUUUGUGUAUUUCUAUGGGAUUCCUAUUUCUUUUCUGAAGAAAGGAGAAAAAGUCAUUAACUUAGAGAAGUUCAGACUUUUCAGAAGGUCAUGAAUCUGACAAGCCAGAAGCAAUGGAUCCUUCUCCAUCUGCCUUUUAUUUCCAGCACAUUUAUACAACCUUCAAGUCUUUGUUUUUCAAAUCUCAGGGAGAGCUACGCAUCCUGGAGUCAAUUGAUGGUUAUCAGGAAGGUGUUUUCAGCUAUUUUCAAAAUACCUUGCAUCUAUGGAACGUGUGUGUAUUUUUGGGUAAUGGCUACUGGACAUCUCCUUGCUUCCUGGUUAUGCCAGGAGUGCCUUUUUCCCUUCAGUACGAUUCCUUCAAACAUUUUGAUGCUUAGGAAGCUAAAUGAGAGAUGGAUUCCUGGGUCAAAGGCAUAUGAGCGUGUUUCCUCACUGGAGAAGCUGUUCAGGAAGGGCUGCAGGGUUCCAGGAUCACCCUCCCUCUUCAUCCAGGCCAACUCAUCUCACGAAGUAGACUUGUCUCUCAACUAAACUUAGUAGCUAUGAGACUUCUGUAAUGAAUUACUGGCAUAUCAUUGCCAUUCUUUCCAGGAUGAAUCACAGAGGCAAAUUGGAAUCUUUUGCCUUUUAAUUAUACGUACUUCCAAUUAUUUACGAAGUCCUAUUUUAUCUCAUAUUUUUCUCAUCAUUAAUUUUUUUUGAUGUACUGAUGCCCUAGGUCAGGUUCUCAUAAUCUCAAGCCGAGUGUCUUCAGUGAGUUCUACUUAUUUCUUAUCCAGUUUGUUCUGCAGAUUUCGCUCAACCCAGACUCUUCACCAGAUUCAUGUCUCUUGGCAGCAUACCCUACCCUGGGCCCAAACAUUAAACUCACUACUCAAUCUCUAUUAUUGUUAUUACAUGGGACUAUAGAAAAAAUUGCCAAAGUUUUCACAAAACACUAGACCUUUUGUGUAAAUCUUUUUGAGAAAACAACUUGCUUUGAUUGAAGGAGGGAAGGCAUGCUUCCAAGGAAUGGAAGGCAUGGAAUAACUAGUUUCGAAAUUUAUAUGUUGGAUGUGGAAAUCACGGGAUGAGUGAAGGAAAGGAGGUAUUUAUUUGGAUAGAAAAUUCACUUUACAAGUUCUAAAUAAUUGAGUUUAAGAUGGUUUAAAGGAGGCUUUGGCUUUCAUCACCUGAAAGUUCUCCAUGAAACCAUUGCCUUUAAUGUGUCUGAUACCAAGAAAUAUUGAAUACACUGGCACUGAAAACGGCACACUUCCUGAGACGUUGUUGCCAUUAGUAUCACCUCUUUUUUUUUUCUUUUUGUCUUUUCUGAGGCCGCACCCGCGGCAAGUGGAAAUUCCCAGGCUAAGAGUCCAAUUGGAACUGUAGCCGCCGGCCUAUGCCACAACCACAGAAAUGCCAGAUUUGAGCCACGUCUAUGACCUACACCACAGCUCACAGCAACGCCGGAUCCUUAACCCACUGAGCAAGGCUAGGGAUCGAACCUGCAACCUCAUGGUUCCUAGUCGGAUUCGUUAACCACUGAGCCAUGACGGGAACUCCUAGUAUCACAUCUUAUGAUUAGAAAAUUUUAAAUGUUUCUUCAUUCAGAUAUUCUUCAUUCAUCAAAAUAUUUAAUGCAUGUUUAUUUCAUAUCAAGCACAGAGCAAGUAGGUGAUAAAAUCAAAGUUUGUAUCCGAUCUUCGACAUAACAAAUGCUGGAGAGGGUAUGGAGAAAAGGGAACCCUCCUACACUGUUGGGAAUGUAAAUUUGUACAACCGCUAUGGAUAAAAGUGUGGAGGUACCUCAGAAAAUUAAAUAUAGAACUACCACAUGACCCAGCAAUCCCACUCUUGGGCAUAUAUCCAGACAAAACUCUCCUUGAAAAAGAUACAUGCACCCAAAUGUUCAUUGUAGUACUAUUCACAAUAGCCAAGACAGGGAAACAACGUACAUGGACAGAUGAAUGGAUUAAGAAGAUGUGGUACAUAUAAACAAUGGAAUACUACUCAGCUAUAAAAAAGAACAAAAUAAUAUCAUUUGCAGCAACAUGGAUGGAACUAGAGAUUCUAAUAUUAAGUGAAGUCAGUAAGAAAGAGAAAUACAAAUACCCUAUGAUGUCACUUAUCUGGAAUUUAAUAUGUGGCAAAAGUGAACAGGAAAGAAACUCAUGGACUUGGAGAACAGACUUGUGGUUGCCAAGGGGAAGGGAGAGGGAGUGGGAUGGACUGGGGGUCUGGGGUUAAUAGAUGCAAACUAUUGCAUUUGGAGUAGAUAAGUAAUGAGAUCCUGCCGUAUAGCACAGGGAACUCUAUUCAGCCACUUGUGAUGGAGCAUGAUGGAUGAUAAUAUGAGAAAAAGAAUAAAUAUAUAUGUAUAUGUAUGUAUGACUGUGUCACUUUGCUGUACAAUAAAAAUUGACAGAACACUGUAAAUCAGCUAUAAUGGAAAAAAUAAAAAUCAUUAUAUAUAUAAAAAAAGUUUGUAUCAGAUCUUCUAUACCAAAGCUAGCAUUUAAUAUAUUACAGUAGGAAGACUUUUCCUAAGCACAUGCCCCAGAGUAAAACUAUUUUGCUCUUUUCCAUUGUAGAGUAAUAAUAACAUUAUUCCUAAUCAACUAUAAUCACAACUUUAAAUGAAGGCAGUCAGAUUUAUAAAGCCUACAUACUAAAACAGAGCAACAAAUACUUCUGAUUCUUGGGCAAUUGUGGGACAGAAUGAAGGACAAUGGAUCAUCUAAGUAUAUGAUUCGUUGAGAUGGUUUCAUAGAUAUUUGUUUUUAGUAUUCUACAUGUAGCAAAAAUUUGAAAGCUUCUUCAUAAGCAGAUUCUUUUUUAAAAAAGUUAUAGUUAUUUAUUGAUUGAUUUUCCUUAUUUAUUUACUUACAUUUGCUUUUUCAGGGCUGCCCCUGCAGCACACAGAGGUUCCUAGGCUAGGGGUCCAAUUGGAGCUGUAGCUGGCAGUCUAUGCCACAGCCACAGCAACGCCAGAUCCAAGCCAUGCCUGCAUCCUAUACUGCAGCUCAUAGCAACACUGGAUCCUUAACCCACUGAGCGAGGGCAUCCAUCAUCCUCAUGGAUACUAGUUGGGUUUUUAACCUGCUGAGCCACAAUGGGA